Molecule: ribosomal RNA, 440 nt
Filed under: uncultured bacterium
Lineage: Bacteria
Description: partial 16S ribosomal RNA
Rfam family: Bacterial small subunit ribosomal RNA
Source: RNAcentral
CCUACGGGUGGCAGCAGUGGGGAAUAUUGGACAAUGGGGGGAACCCUGAUCCAGCAACGCCGCGUGAGUGAAGAAGUAUUUCGGUAUGUAAAGCUCUGUCAGCAGGGAAGAAAAUGACGGUACCUGACUAAGGAGCCCCGGCUAACUACGUGCCAGCAGCCGCGGUAAUACGUAGGGGGGAAGCGUUAGCCGGAUUUACUGGGUGUAAAGGGGGUGUAGGCGGGCCUGUAAGUGUGAUGUGAAAGGUCGGGGCAUAAACCGGGGACUGCAUUUGAAACUGUGGGGCUUGAGUGCAGGAGAGGUAAGCGGAAUUGCUAGUGGAGCGGUGGAAUGCGUAGAUAUUAGGAGGAACACCAGAGGCGAAGGCGGCUUACUGGACUGUAACUGACGCUGAGGCUCGAAAGCGUGGGGAGCAAACAGGAUUAGAUACCCGGGUAGUC